This 75-nucleotide transfer RNA is filed under the name Candidatus Onthoplasma faecipullorum. RNAcentral describes it as "tRNA-Glu". It matches the Rfam family "tRNA". Rfam says of the family: Transfer RNA (tRNA) molecules are approximately 80 nucleotides in length. Their secondary structure includes four short double-helical elements and three loops (D, anti-codon, and T loops). Lineage: Bacteria; Bacillati; Bacillota; Clostridia; Christensenellales; Christensenellaceae. The record is from RNAcentral.
GGUCCCAUGGUCAAGCGGUUAAGACACCACCCUUUCACGGUGGGAUCAGGGGUUCGAUUCCCCUUGGGACUACCA